AUUGAACGCUGGCGGCAGGCCUAACACAUGCAAGUCGAGCGAGCGGCGGACGGGUGAGUAAUGUAUGGGGAUCUGCCUGCUGGAGGGGGAUAACUACUGGAAACGGUAGCUAAUACCGCAUACCAUCAGAUGAACCCAUAUGGGAUUAGCUAGUAGGUGAGGUAACGUCUACCCUAUGCGACGAUCCCUAGCUGGUCUGAGAGGAGGACCAGCGACACUGGGACUGAGACACGGCCCAGCAUCCUACGGGAGGCAGCAGUGGGGAAUAUGGCACAAUGGGCGCAAGCCGGAUGCAGCCAUGCCGCGUGUAGGAAGAAGGCCUUCGGGUUGUAAAGUACUUUCAGUCGGGAGGCGUUACCGACAGAAGAAGCACCGGCUAACUCCGUGCCAGCAGCCGCGGUAAUUC
This 406-nucleotide ribosomal RNA is filed under the name uncultured bacterium. Its description in RNAcentral is "partial 16S ribosomal RNA". It matches the Rfam family "Bacterial small subunit ribosomal RNA", at positions 30 to 526 of the family's 1533-position model. The record is from RNAcentral.